This 484-nucleotide ribosomal RNA is filed under the name uncultured bacterium. RNAcentral describes it as "partial 16S ribosomal RNA". It matches the Rfam family "Bacterial small subunit ribosomal RNA", at positions 28 to 523 of the family's 1533-position model. The record is from RNAcentral.
GACGAACGCUGGCGGCGUGCUUAACACAUGCAAGUCGAACGAUGAAGCCGGAGCUUGCUCUGGUGAAUUAGUGGCGAACGGGUGAGUAACACGUGAGUAACCUGCCCUUGACUCUGGGAUAACUGCGGGAAACUGUAGCUAAUACCGGAUACGACCCUCGGAGGCAUCUCCUGGGGGUGGAAAGAAUUUCGGUCAAGGAUGGACUCGCGGCCUAUCAGCUAGUUGGUGAGGUAAAGGCUCACCAAGGCGACGACGGGUAGCCGGCCUGAGAGGGUGACCGGCCACACUGGGACUGAGACACGGCCCAGACUCCUACGGGAGGCAGCAGUGGGGAAUAUUGCACAAUGGGCGCAAGCCUGAUGCAACAACGCCGCGUGAGGGAUGACGGCCUUCGGGUUGUAAACCUCUUUUAGCAGGGAAGAAGCGAAAGUGACGGUACCUGCAGAAGAAGCCCCGGCUAACUUCGUGCCAGCCGCCGCUGUAA